Molecule: long non-coding RNA, 351 nt
Organism: Tyto alba (common barn owl)
Lineage: Eukaryota; Metazoa; Chordata; Aves; Strigiformes; Tytonidae
Exons: 3
Source: RefSeq, a predicted model, not a curated record
GGCGUGUUUGUGUUUAACAUAGGUUUUAACCCUGACAUUCAGGAGGAAAAGAGGAUUCUAUCCAAAGACCCUGAGGAGAUGGAGCUGCUUCUCUGGAAGCCUGGGUGAGGAGCUUCCAAGAGAGUGGCCCUUCCCGUUAAUACAUCAACACUGAAGCAGUGAUGGUUUCUUUCCUGCAUUGAAGGUGUAUGAAUGGAUGUUCCCUGUUUGCUGUUGUAAUGGCUGGGGGUAAUGAAACUCUUGUGCUGUACACACCUCCCCUCUGACCCAAGAUGAACCCAAAUUAGGAGCUGUGAAGGCCAGGCAAGUCCCAUACACACAUUGCUCACACCACGCUGGCUUGGGUUGGUG